Molecule: small nucleolar RNA, 79 nt
Organism: Impatiens glandulifera
Lineage: Eukaryota; Viridiplantae; Streptophyta; Magnoliopsida; Ericales; Balsaminaceae
Product: small nucleolar RNA R160
Exons: 1
Source: RefSeq, a predicted model, not a curated record
AGCAAGAUGAUGAGUUUUACAUAUCUAAAUGAAUAAUGUUGAUUCUAACUGAAUUAGCCUUCAAAGUUCUCUGAUUGCU